UUGACCUCAGAUCAAGUA
Molecule: ribosomal RNA, 18 nt
Filed under: Inocybe gomphocephala
Lineage: Eukaryota; Fungi; Basidiomycota; Agaricomycetes; Agaricales; Inocybaceae
Description: partial large subunit ribosomal RNA
Source: RNAcentral